GCCUGGAUAGCUCCUUCGGUAGAGCAUCAUCAGACUUUUAAUGUGAGGGUCCAGGGUUCAAGUUCCUGUUUGGGCG
Homo sapiens (human) is the source of this 76-nucleotide transfer RNA. It matches the Rfam family "tRNA". From Rfam's summary of the family: Transfer RNA (tRNA) molecules are approximately 80 nucleotides in length. NCBI's taxonomy places the organism in Eukaryota, Metazoa, Chordata, Mammalia, Primates, Hominidae. The record is from Rfam.